UACGAAGGGGGCUAGCGUUGUUCGGAAUUACUGGGCGUAAAGCGCACGUAGGCGGACUGACAAGUCAGGGGUGAAAUCCCGGGGCUCAACCUCGGAACUGCCUUUGAUACUGCCAGUCUCGAGUCCGGAAGAGGUGGGUGGAAUUCCUAGUGUAGAGGUGAAAUUCGCAGAUAUUAGGAAGAACACCGGUGGCGAAGGCGGCCCACUGGUCCGGUACUGACGCUGAGGUGCGAAAGCGUGGGGAGCAAACAGG
This 253-nucleotide ribosomal RNA is filed under the name uncultured bacterium. RNAcentral's name for it is "partial 16S ribosomal RNA". It matches the Rfam family "Bacterial small subunit ribosomal RNA", at positions 524 to 776 of the family's 1533-position model. The record is from RNAcentral.